AGAGCAGCAUGUAGCAGGCCCCCGUGGAGGAUUAACACAGUGGCUCAACACCGGGAAGGAACUGGCUCUUGGAGUCCGGACAUCUGAAACUUGGACUGUGAAUGCAACCCAUGAAAAAGAGGGUUUUCGGAAGCUUGACAUUUAUGAGGGUGAGGAAUUAACAAGCCAACAUCAGUCUCCAGAGUGAAUCCAAGGAGAGGACCCAAGACAUUCAUGUUCUGUGAUGUGGUGACAUGUUACCUGUCAUCUCUGAUGCACAACUCCUAAAGUGUUUGCAUCUGGGGCAGUUGUACAGAUUGCAGAAGCUAAUACUCAAGAUGUUCUCCAAGGCCAACUACUCAUCAGUUUAUUCAUGUUUCUGGGAUUGGAUUCAUGAACUCAUCCUUUGAACUAUUUCAACAAGCUUUUUCAUGUAACUAAUCUGCGGAAGGUAGAAAGGGUAAAACUGUUGGGUGCUAAAAUGACAACUGGUUCAAGGUACAACGGCGAAUAUUUUUAUUUCUGCAACUUUUCUUAGAGGUUGGAAACUGGACUAGGCAGGAAGAUUCCGUUUUGUAAGAUUAGUCUCCAGUUUUCAUCAAGCAGUUUAGUGGGGUAUUUUAGACCCAGUUCCCUCUCCACAGUCCCCAAAGUUCUUCUGUUAACUUUAAAUCAGCAAAGAGAGAGAUCUCUGCCAAGCAUCAACUGCAAGAGCAUGUGGGUCAAAGUUACCAGCAGACACUCAAAGCACAUUCACUUUACUUCAACACUGCUUUAUAAAUUAUCUUAGAGAUGUUGUCAAGGUUGGUAUCAGAGAGCUCCCAAGAUGGUGGCGGGCCACUUCCAAAAUGGUGGCAGGCCACUUCCAAGAUGGUGGCAAGCCUCGCGUUCUCUGGCCUGGGGUUCUUGGCCUCACGGAUUCCAAGGAAUGGAAUCUUGGGCCAUGCAGAGGAGCAUCAGAUAAUUAGGCAGCAGUC
Molecule: long non-coding RNA, 956 nt
Filed under: Pongo abelii (Sumatran orangutan)
Lineage: Eukaryota; Metazoa; Chordata; Mammalia; Primates; Hominidae
Description: lincRNA
Source: RNAcentral